This 1377-nucleotide long non-coding RNA is filed under the name Triticum aestivum (bread wheat). RNAcentral describes it as "long non-coding RNA (TAES_LNC015595)". The record is from RNAcentral. Lineage: Eukaryota; Viridiplantae; Streptophyta; Magnoliopsida; Poales; Poaceae.
UUCGAUGUCCAAUGCUAAUUGUGAGGUGCCACAGGGAGGAUGCUUACAAGAUUCGUCACAUCCCCACAGUCGAAUUCUGGUGACCAAGGAGUUAAAAACCGUGAAGCAAGCAAUGCUUACAAAAUUGUUGAAUUCUAAUUGAUUCGUCACCUGUCCCAUCUUUGCUCCCGGUGGACACAUACAUCUGCAUACCAACAAGUGUUGGUGGCUGUCCGGCAGAGGAGGUAAGCGGCCUGGAGCCUUCUUUUUCAAGUGUUGUAAGCAUAUUGUGCCCAAAUGGAUUAUACCAUGCAUUACCACUUUUUUCAGAUUGUUUUCUUAUGCAUGCAGUCUUACUUGUAGCAAAUCUUGUCAAACUUUUAGAAAUCAAACAAGUAACUAUGAAUUACCGAGUACAACUUCCCAUUGGUUCUCUUCUUUGUUCCUACUACUUGAAGUAUAUUUGCUACUGUCGCCAAAUGGAUUAUACCAUGCAUUAGCUCUUUUUCUUUCUUUCUAUACAGUUUUCAAGGGCAGAAACAUAUACAGUUGUAGCUAGUCUUGUCAACUUUUAGAAACUGAACUUUCAUCCAAGAACUAAUUAAAGGGACUUGCCUUUCAUGGUUGGCUGCACAACAUGUUCGGAAUGCAAUUUCUUAUUGGUUCUCUUCUCUGUUUCUACUGCGUAGAUAACUUAAAAAAUAUCUACUCAAGGAGACAAUUUUAAUUGUGCCAUAACAUCCAGUUGGCAUCCACAUGACUGUUAUUGGUCAAUCAUGUGUGCAGGGCUUACAUUGCUGUUGCGGACUUGCCGAAUCUCACAGAAGAUCAAUUUCAGAAUGCAAAAGAUGAGGCAGAGCUCAAGGAAGCGGCCGAUUCCAGGUAGCAGUUUCCUUCGGACCAAAUCUCACUGGGAUUCUCAAGGAGCAUGUUUUUGAUGGAGGAAGAGAUCUCAAGUAGCUGACUAACUAAUGUUGUUCUGCUCUAGUAGUAUCUGUCUGUUGUGAUUCAGAAAGGAUUAAAAGGUCAUGGUUCUUGUGCUCAAACCUCGUAAGAUUGUUAAUUUCAACUCAACCACUUUUUGGCAAAUGCCCCAUUCGUUCAUGUAUUUAAUUUACCCAUUGUGUUACUGUUUUUAAUUUGUAUAAAUUUUAAAGUGGCUAUUAAUUGUCUUCCAGAUAGUGCACAUCUUGGGCCUGCCUGUGGACAAUACUAGGUACCAGGCGUGCUGCUUCAGGUACCAUGCUGAAUUGGGCGCCCAGGGAAUGGAAUGGAAGGCAACAACUCAUUUUGCCAAGCGCCCGAAUCAACAUCCAUGCACGUACGUAGAGGAUAUAUACUUUUACUUAUUUAUCUAGUUUUGUAAAAGUCAUUUGUAAGUUUCAUGAGAUGCUUACU